Anoplophora glabripennis (Asian longhorned beetle) is the source of this 346-nucleotide long non-coding RNA. RefSeq lists it as uncharacterized. The transcript has 2 exons. The record is from RefSeq and is a predicted model, not a curated record. Lineage: Eukaryota; Metazoa; Arthropoda; Insecta; Coleoptera; Cerambycidae.
UUCUUAAAAAUUGCAGACGUUCUAGUACACAACAUAACCGACUAUAAAAUUUGUAUUCUUUAGUGAAAAUACUUGUUCAGAUCAAAAUGAGAAUUUUAUUUUAUAGUGUAUUUUUUCUCUACGUAAUAUUUGUUGUGUUGAGUAAUGGUGCCACAUUAGGUCCACGUCAAAAAAGAGGUAUUCUUAUUCGUCCAUUAAACUGUCCCCCUGGUUGGAUAUUCGUAAAUAGACGAUGUUAUAAGAAGUAUCUCGCUCCCUCUUCUAUAACGUACCACUGAGGAUCCAAGUAACCAGCUUUUUUAUAUGUCUGCAAUUAUGUAAACGUAAUAAAAUUGUUUAGAAGCAA